RNAcentral lists this ribosomal RNA (467 nucleotides) under uncultured bacterium. RNAcentral's name for it is "bacterial SSU rRNA". It matches the Rfam family "Bacterial small subunit ribosomal RNA", at positions 355 to 825 of the family's 1533-position model. The record is from RNAcentral.
UAAGGAAUAUUGGUCAAUGGAGGCAACUCUGAACCAGCCAUGCCGCGUGCAGGAAGAAGGCCCUAUGGGUCGUAAACUGCUUUUGAACAAGAGAAAACCCCGGUACGUGUACUGGGUUGAUAGUAUUGUUAGAAUAAGCAUCGGCUAACUUCGUGCCAGCAGCCGCGGUAAGACGAAGGAUGCAAGCGUUAUCCGGAUUCAUUGGGUUUAAAGGGUGCGUAGGCGGACUGAUAAGUCAGUGGUGAAAUCUCUCGGCUUAACCGAGAAACUGCCAUUGAUACUGUUAGUCUAGAGUACAGAUGAUGUGGGCGGAAUAUGACAUGUAGUGGUGAAAUACUUAGAUAUGUCAUAGAACACCGACUGCGAAGGCAGCUCACAAAACUGUAACUGACGCUGAGGCACGAAAGUGCGGGGAUCAAACAGGAUUAGAUACCCGCGUAGUCCCUGAGCGGGCUGGCAAGGCGCAU